UACGAAGGGUGCAAGCGUUACUCGGAAUUACUGGGCGUAAAGCGUGCGUAGGUGGUUCGUUAAGUCUGAUGUGAAAGCCCUGGGCUCAACCUGGGAAUGGCAUUGGAAACUGGCGACCUAGAGUGCGGUAGAGGGUAGUGGAAUUCCCGGUGUAGCAGUGAAAUGCGUAGAGAUCGGGAGGAACAUCUGUGGCGAAGGCGACUGCCUGGACCGGCACUGACACUGAGGCACGAAAGCGUGGGGAGCAAACAGG
This 253-nucleotide ribosomal RNA is filed under the name uncultured bacterium. Its description in RNAcentral is "partial 16S ribosomal RNA". It matches the Rfam family "Bacterial small subunit ribosomal RNA", at positions 524 to 776 of the family's 1533-position model. The record is from RNAcentral.